AUUUUUCUAUGAAGCCAGGUGUUAUUGCUUACUAUUUUCAGAUAUAGAUAUAGUCUUUGUAAGUAAGAGUGCUUCUGUAUUAUAAUGUCUCCAACAACUUUGUCAGAUUUUUAAAUUAAUUUUUUGAACAAGACUCUUUUGAGUUGUCUCCUUAAUCUUACCAUUAGCAAAGAAAUGCAUUACAGUUAGGCUCUACACAUGAAAUGGUGACAUGGAGGACACAGAGGUGCCCUGUCUGCAGCCUCCAUAGACCAGCCAGAGCCAGGUUGUGAUUCGUGAUCUCUUAUGAGGAGGAAAUGCUGAUGGGCUGUUGUUCUGAAACCAAGUCUACUCUCAUCUUCUGGUGACUCUGAAACAUGCUACCCACACCGACAUACCAUGUAUCACACACUGAAUUGCCCCUGACAUGCUGUGGGUAAAAUUGCCCCCACCAUGCUGUGGGUUGCCCCCGACAUGCUGUGGGUAAAUAUCACAAGUUAAGAAAUGAAAUGGAAACUGAAGGG
RNAcentral lists this long non-coding RNA (503 nucleotides) under Homo sapiens (human). Its description in RNAcentral is "non-protein coding lnc-GGTLC1-8:1". The record is from RNAcentral. Lineage: Eukaryota; Metazoa; Chordata; Mammalia; Primates; Hominidae.